UUCCAUCGUAGCUUAAUAUACACUAAAGCGAGACACUGAAGAUGUCCUGAUGGAGACAUUACUCUCCCGAGAACA
Molecule: non-coding RNA, 75 nt
Organism: Gekko japonicus
Lineage: Eukaryota; Metazoa; Chordata; Lepidosauria; Squamata; Gekkonidae
Source: the annotation of a RefSeq genome assembly